RNAcentral lists this long non-coding RNA (485 nucleotides) under Phoenix dactylifera (date palm). RNAcentral describes it as "long non-coding RNA (PDAC_LNC007712)". The record is from RNAcentral. Lineage: Eukaryota; Viridiplantae; Streptophyta; Magnoliopsida; Arecales; Arecaceae.
AUGAUAGCUUUUAAAAAAUAUUUAAGUAGAUGACUAUCAUACACAAUUGUCUUUUCAUUUCUUCAAGAAUUCUAUUAAUCCUAUUUUACUUAUGGUGUCCUUGGUGCUGAAACAAUUGUAUUCAAUAUUAUUUUCUAUGCACAACUUGAUAAAAAAUUGGUUUUCAAGACUAUCCCAUGAUACUUUUGCAAACCUUUUUCAUUUGAACCCUUUUUGUGAGUUUGUGCCAAUGCAUAAAAUAUUUCAAUUUACGUGCCAAGAACAAAGCCAGUGUAAGCUUUUGAAAACUUAGUAUUGGAAACAACAUCAUUAGAUUUAGAAAUUAAUUUUGUUUGUUUCCUUAGUUAACAUGCAUAGCAAGCUUUGACCUUUUAGAAGAUAAUCUAAGUAAGGCAAUGACAAGGUCUUUCGAGAUUAAGUACAUACUAGCAUGAGUUGAUUUUAUAUGCCAAAGAUGGUUUCUUUAAUCUUGGUAUUCAUAGUGC